Cucumis melo (muskmelon) is the source of this 494-nucleotide long non-coding RNA. RefSeq lists it as uncharacterized. The record is from RefSeq and is a predicted model, not a curated record. The transcript is spliced from 2 exons. Lineage: Eukaryota; Viridiplantae; Streptophyta; Magnoliopsida; Cucurbitales; Cucurbitaceae.
AGAACCGAAACCGAGAGGGGAAAUUAAGAAAGGAGAAGAAGUCGUCGGAAUUUUUGUCGCCCUUCCGCCAUUGUUCCGCCGCCGUCCGUCGCCGCCCUCCCUCGUCGUUGUCCCUCGUCGCCGUCUGCCACUUUAGAAACAAUACAAGGACAUGAAAAAUUAGGUGUGGCGGUACCCAUAUGUGGCUACAGUCCAUGUUCGAACCAAGCGCAUGUAAACGUCGAGUGGGGAUAGAGAGCGAUAUGUGCGGUCGAGGUGGGGGAUAGGCUUGCUUGGAUAAUGCUUGCACCUCAUUACGGGCGUGUUCUCGGCAUGCUUUCCUCUGUUCAUUAUGUUUAUGUUUUUUCUAAGCAUACGCACCUCGUUGGGAGACUUUUCAUUAUCUUAUGCGUACUUUUCCUUAAUUUCUAUGACAGAUGUUUUUAAGACAUUGUCAUGUUAAAUUAUUUAGAAAAGUAGAAAAAAAAUAAAAAGAAAAAGCAUUGAUAGACUUC